CCAGAUCUAACUCUUCCAGCUCG
RNAcentral lists this microRNA (23 nucleotides) under Eisenia fetida (common brandling worm). RNAcentral's name for it is "Efe-Mir-750-P2_3p (mature (guide))". Lineage: Eukaryota; Metazoa; Annelida; Clitellata; Crassiclitellata; Lumbricidae. RNAcentral also lists the same sequence under 2 other names. The record is from RNAcentral.